Molecule: ribosomal RNA, 253 nt
Filed under: uncultured bacterium
Lineage: Bacteria
Description: partial 16S ribosomal RNA
Rfam family: Bacterial small subunit ribosomal RNA
Source: RNAcentral
UACAGAGGUCCCAAGCGUUGUUCGGAUUCACUGGGCGUAAAGGGCGCGUAGGCGGCCUGCUAAGUCGAACGUGAAAUCCCCGGGCUCAACCCGGGAACUGCGUCCGAUACUGGCAGGCUUGAAUCCGGGAGAGGGAUGUGGAAUUCCAGGUGUAGCGGUGAAAUGCGUAGAUAUCUGGAGGAACACCGGUGGCGAAGGCGGCAUCCUGGACCGGCAUUGACGCUGAGGCGCGAAAGCCAGGGGAGCAAACGGG